RNAcentral lists this ribosomal RNA (252 nucleotides) under uncultured bacterium. RNAcentral's name for it is "partial 16S ribosomal RNA". It matches the Rfam family "Bacterial small subunit ribosomal RNA", at positions 524 to 776 of the family's 1533-position model. The record is from RNAcentral.
UACAGAGGGUGCAAGCGUUAAUCGGAAUUACUGGGCGUAAAGGGUGCGUAGGCGGGUCUUUAAGUCAGGGGUGAAAUCCUGGAGCUCAACUCCAGAACUGCCUUGAUACUGAAGAUCUUGAGUUCGGGAGAGGUGAGUGGAACUGCGAGUGUAGAGGUGAAAUUCGUAGAUAUUCGCAAGAACACCAGUGGCGAAGGCGGCUCACUGGCCCGAUACUGACGCUGAGGCACGAAAGCGUGGGGAGCAAACGGG